AACACCCAGUACUGCAAGCAUCUGGCCCUGUCUCAGCCAUUCAGCUUCACCCAGCAGGACAUGCCCAAACUUCGUCGGCAGAUCUACAAGGAGCUGUGUCACUGCAAACUCACUGUGUGAGCCUCGUACCCCAGACCCCAAGCCCAUAAAUGGGAAGGGAGACAUGGGAGUCCCUUCCCAAGAAACUCCAGUUCCUUUCCUCUCUUGCCUCUUCCCACUCACUUCCCUUUGGUUUUUCAUAUUUAAAUGUUUCAAUUUCUGUAUUUUUUUUUCUUUGAGAGAAUACUUGUUGAUUUCUGAUGUGCAGGGGGUGGCUACAGAAAAGCCCCUUUCUUCCUCUGUUUGCAGGGGAGUGUGGCCCUGUGGCCUGGGUGGAGCAGUCAUCCUCCCCCUUCCCUGUGCAGGGAGCAGGAAAUCAGUGCUGGGGGUGGUGGGCGGACAAUAGGAUCACUGCCUGCCAGAUCUUCAAACUUUUUUUUUUAUAUAUAUAUAUAUAUA
This 498-nucleotide small RNA is filed under the name Pan troglodytes (chimpanzee). RNAcentral describes it as "retained intron". Lineage: Eukaryota; Metazoa; Chordata; Mammalia; Primates; Hominidae. The record is from RNAcentral.